UACGUAGGGUGCGAGCGUUAAUCGGAAUUACUGGGCGUAAAGCGCACGUAGGCGGCUUUGUAAGUUAGAGGUGAAAGCCCGGGGCUCAACCCCGGAAUUGCCUUUAAGACUGCAUCGCUUGAACGUCGGAGAGGUGAGUGGAAUUCCGAGUGUAGAGGUGAAAUUCGUAGAUAUUCGGAAGAACACCAGUGGCGAAGGCGGCUCACUGGACGACUGUUGACGCUGAGGUGCGAAAGCGUGGGGAGCAAACAGG
Molecule: ribosomal RNA, 253 nt
Filed under: uncultured bacterium
Lineage: Bacteria
Description: partial 16S ribosomal RNA
Rfam family: Bacterial small subunit ribosomal RNA
Source: RNAcentral